UACGAAGGGGGCUAGCGUUGUUCGGAAUUACUGGGCGUAAAGGGCGCGUAGGCGGUGUGUCAAGUCAGGCGUGAAAGCCCCGGGCUCAACCUGGGAACCGCGCUUGAGACUGGCACGCUCGAGUUCGGGAGAGGAUGGUGGAAUUCCCAGUGUAGAGGUGAAAUUCGUAGAUAUUGGGGAGAACACCGAUGGCGAAGGCAGCCAUCUGGACCGACACUGACGCUGAGGCGCGAAAGCGUGGGGAGCAAACAGG
RNAcentral lists this ribosomal RNA (253 nucleotides) under uncultured bacterium. RNAcentral describes it as "partial 16S ribosomal RNA". It matches the Rfam family "Bacterial small subunit ribosomal RNA", at positions 524 to 776 of the family's 1533-position model. The record is from RNAcentral.